UACCGAAGUUUGCUAACCUCACGGAGGAUUAGAACGCUUCGAAGUCAAAAAACAUCUCACAUCAUACUGACUGUGGGUCAACCGCUCGUUCACUGGACUCUCAGCUGGAAGCUAAGUUUCCUUGACACCCCUAAAACCUAUCUCAUAGUAGGAAAGGAAAAGAAGGCGUAGAAGGAAAGGAAGGUCACCUGUGUAAGUGGAGGACUGGUUCACGAAAAACAGCGAGACGAUAGCAGGUCUAAAAAGCUUAUACAACUUGUGGUUGAACUUUUUAAACUCGUUGUAGGAAGAACAGUAAAGAAAACUUAAACGGUGGGGAUCGGUCUAACUCCCAUACAUCACGGUACAUCCGUCGUAUAGAGACGAGUAGACCGUAACUGACAGAAACGGAUGCAUUGACGACUGGUGGAUGUCAUCGUUUUCCUUUUUUUUCAAAUCCCUUUAACACCAUGUUAUUCUUUUGAUACUUUUAACCUCAUACUUCCUCAUAUAGUUGAUCCUCAUACUAGUUUUGACAUGGACAACGAAGAACAUCGUAUGACAGUAGAAGAACCUCGUAUAACAGUAAUAGUAGUCGAAGAAGAAGCUCGUAUAACAGUAGUAGUAGACGAAGAAGAACCUCGUAUAACAGUAGUAGUAAAAGAAGAACCCCGUAUAAUAGUAGUAGUAAACGAAGAAGAACCUGGUACAACUGUAGACGAGGAAGAAGAGGACGUCCACCACACGUCAAGUUCAGACCCUCGUGGUAUGACAAAACCACGACAACGAAGAUAUUAAUGAGACUUUAAAAGGUUUUUUCGUUCAAAUUAUGAGGUUUUCCCCUUUUUGUUUGUUUGGUAUCUAGAAUAGAGAUCCAACGAAUUGGUACUUUGUUACAUAGAAGACGUUGCAUGAGGACGUAAAUCAUCAUCAUUACGGUAGAUCUAUUAGGAUCUAUUACGUUCUCAUCAUCAUUGACUUUGAAGAACACUUAAAUUGACUUUGAAGACGUAAACAUGAGACAUUCUAAGAUCGAUAUCUCUAUUUUACGAGGAAGUAAACUAAUCGUAAAUUGUUGUCAUUGCAAAUCUAACCAACGUUGUUUGUUUUAUGUCUAUAUAGUUACUCAUUUAAAGAAUAAUUAUACCAGGCCAACGUUGUUUUUUUUAAUUUUGUUCCAUGACCAUGAGUAAACCAGUUAGACGAUGACAUGAGUAAACUGUCUAAACAUAAAACUGUAUUAGGUAAAGUAUCACUACAAAGAACUGUGUGUUCACUAUGACACGUCUGUUCGCUGUUAAGAAGACACGUCAUCCUCAUGUUAUGAGACAUAAAACUGUUUGUUCACGUCGUAGAGUACACACUAAUACGUAAAUAGAUUUAGAUACGUAAAUUAACUUAGAUACGGCUUAAAUUGACUAGGGACAUGACUAUGAGGUCAGACAAACGUCUUAAAUGUCAUUUUAAAUGAGGUCCCUCGUUCUAGUGUAAUGACGUCAAUCCCCGCUCCGUUCCUCUUGGACGGACCUCUGGUGCACGACGCAUCACUGCUCAGUCCACCCGACCCGUGCCGCUCCUGGUUCGACUCCCCCGCCGCUGGUUCGACCCGCGCCGCCGCUGGUUCGACUCCGCCUCCGCUGGUUCGACUCCGCCUCCGCUGGUUUGACCCACGGACCCGCGCCCCGGCUCGCGGACCUUUGUCCCGGCUCGCGGACCUACUACCCCUGCUACGCACGAGCACCUCCUCCCCCUGCUGCGUUCGAUGACCUCCUCCCCCUGCCGCGUUCGAAGACCUCCUUCUGCUGCUGUGCUCGAGGACCUCCUUCUGCUGCCGUGCUCGAGGACCUCCUACCCCUGCUGCGCUCGAGGACCUCCUACCCCUGCUGCGCUCGAGGACUCCCUACCCCUGCCGCGCUCGAGGACCCCCUUCCCCUGCCGCGCUCGAGGACCCCCUACCCCUGCCGCGCUCGAGGACCUCCUCCUUCUGCUGCGCUUAAGUUUAGCUCCCAUUUUUCCAGAUUAAGCGGUAAACAGCCGACACAGGAUUUUAACAUUUGCGAGAAUAUUUUCAAAUGUCUCCCUCAU
This 2064-nucleotide ribosomal RNA is filed under the name Triticum aestivum (bread wheat). RNAcentral's name for it is "partial small subunit ribosomal RNA". The record is from RNAcentral. Lineage: Eukaryota; Viridiplantae; Streptophyta; Magnoliopsida; Poales; Poaceae.